GACGAACGCUGGCGGCGUGCUUAACACAUGCAAGUCGAGCGAGGCUCCACCUUCGGGUGGAUGCCCUAGCGGCGAACGGGUGAGUAACACGUGGGCAACCUGCCCCUAGCACUGGGAUAACCCCGGGAAACCGGGGCUAAUACCGGAUACGAACUCAGUAGGCAUCUACCGAGUUGGAAAAAUUUAUUGGCUAGGGAUGGGCCCGCGGCCUAUCAGCUUGUUGGUGGGGUAACGGCCCACCAAGGCUCCGACGGGUAGCCGGCCUGAGAGGGCGACCGGCCACACUGGGACUGAGACACGGCCCAGACUCCUACGGGAGGCAGCAGUGGGGAAUAUUGCACAAUGGGCGAAAGCCUGAUGCAGCGACGCCGCGUGAGGGAUGACGGCCUUCGGGUUGUAAACCUCUUUCAGCUCCGACGAAGCGAAAGUGACGGUAGGGGCAGAAGAAGCACCGGCCAACUACGUGCCAGCAGCCGCCGUAACAC
RNAcentral lists this ribosomal RNA (485 nucleotides) under uncultured bacterium. RNAcentral's name for it is "bacterial SSU rRNA". It matches the Rfam family "Bacterial small subunit ribosomal RNA", at positions 28 to 526 of the family's 1533-position model. The record is from RNAcentral.